GACGAACCGAGCGAACGUUAUUCGGAAUCACUGGGCUUAAAGGGUGCGUAGGCGGGCACGCGAGUCAGGGGUGAAAUCCCACGGCCCAACCGUGGAAGUGCCUCUGAUACCGCGAGCCUCGAGGGGGAUAGGGGCGUGCGGAACUUCCGGUGGAGCGGUGAAAUGCGUAGAUAUCGGAAGGAACACCGGUGGCGAAAGCGGCGCGCUGGAUCGCUACUGACGCUGAGGCACGAAAGCCAGGGGAGCAAACGGG
This 253-nucleotide ribosomal RNA is filed under the name uncultured bacterium. Its description in RNAcentral is "partial 16S ribosomal RNA". It matches the Rfam family "Bacterial small subunit ribosomal RNA", at positions 524 to 776 of the family's 1533-position model. The record is from RNAcentral.